AGAGUUUGAUCAUGGCUCAGGAUGAACGCUAGCUACAGGCUUAACACAUGCAAGUCGAGGGGCAUCAGGGUGUAGCAAUACACCGCUGGCGACCGGCGCACGGGUGAGUAACACGUAUCCAACCUGCCCUUUACUCGGGGAUAGCCUUUCGAAAGAAAGAUUAAUACCCGAUGGCAUAACAUGACCUCCUGGUUUUGUUAUUAAAGAAUUUCGGUAGAGGGAUGGGGAUGCGUUCCAUUAGGCAGUUGGCGGGGUAACGGCCCACCAAACCUUCGAUGGAUAGGGGUUCUGAGAGGAAGGUCCCCCACAUUGGAACUGAGACACGGUCCAAACUCCUACGGGAGGCAGCA
RNAcentral lists this ribosomal RNA (350 nucleotides) under uncultured bacterium. Its description in RNAcentral is "bacterial SSU rRNA". It matches the Rfam family "Bacterial small subunit ribosomal RNA", at positions 8 to 353 of the family's 1533-position model. The record is from RNAcentral.